RNAcentral lists this ribosomal RNA (435 nucleotides) under uncultured bacterium. Its description in RNAcentral is "partial 16S ribosomal RNA". It matches the Rfam family "Bacterial small subunit ribosomal RNA", at positions 39 to 507 of the family's 1533-position model. The record is from RNAcentral.
GGGGGGGGGGGGGGGGGGGGGUGGGGGGGGGGGGUGGGGGGGAGUGUGCGGGGUUGGUGGCGGGCGGGGGAGGAGCGCGUGAGAAUCUGGGUUUGGGUUGGGGACAACCACUGGAAAGGGUGGCUAAUACCGGAUGUGCCGAGAGGUAAAAGAGAAAUUGCCUGAAGAUGAGCUCGCGUCUGAUUAGCUAGUUGGUGAGGUAAAGGCUCACCAAGGCAGCGAUCAGUAGCUGGUCUGAGAGGAUGACCAGCCACACUGGGACUGAGACACGGCCCAGACUCCUACGGGAGGCAGCAGUGGGGAAUUUUCCGCAAUGGGCGAAAGCCUGACGGAGCAAUACCGCGUGAGGGAAGAAGGCUCUUGGGUUGUAAACCUCUUUUCUUAGGGAAGAACAAAAUGACGGUACCUAAGGAAUCAGCAUCGGCUAACUCCGUG